RNAcentral lists this ribosomal RNA (292 nucleotides) under uncultured bacterium. RNAcentral's name for it is "partial 16S ribosomal RNA". It matches the Rfam family "Bacterial small subunit ribosomal RNA", at positions 505 to 796 of the family's 1533-position model. The record is from RNAcentral.
GUGCCAGCCGCCGCGGUAAUACGUAGGGGGCAAGCGUUGUCCGGAUUCAUUGGGCGUAAAGCGCGUGUAGGCGGCCAGGUAGGUCCGACGUGAAAACUGGAGGCUCAACCUCCAGCUGUCGUUGGAAACCAUCUGGCUAGAGUCCGGAAGAGGAGAGUGGAAUUCCUGGUGUAGCGGUGAAAUGCGCAGAUAUCAGGAAGAACACCAAUGGCGAAGGCAGCUCUCUGGGACGGUACUGACGCUGAGACGCGAAAGCGUGGGGAGCGAACAGGAUUAGAAACCCUUGUAGUCC